Molecule: small RNA, 28 nt
Filed under: Bombyx mori (domestic silkworm)
Lineage: Eukaryota; Metazoa; Arthropoda; Insecta; Lepidoptera; Bombycidae
Description: ovarian small RNA-7494
Source: RNAcentral
UCGACGGUUGCGAGGCCGGCGGUAGGGC